This 85-nucleotide transfer RNA is filed under the name Burkholderiales bacterium. RNAcentral describes it as "tRNA-Leu". It matches the Rfam family "tRNA". From Rfam's summary of the family: Transfer RNA (tRNA) molecules are approximately 80 nucleotides in length. Their secondary structure includes four short double-helical elements and three loops (D, anti-codon, and T loops). RNAcentral also lists the same sequence under 1 other name. The record is from RNAcentral. Lineage: Bacteria; Pseudomonadati; Pseudomonadota; Betaproteobacteria; Burkholderiales.
GCUCCGGUGGCGUAAUCGGUAGCCGCGCUGGACUCAAAAUCCAGUCUCGCAAGAGGUGUCGGUUCAAGUCCGACCCGGAGCACCA